Non-coding RNA from Dipodomys ordii (Ord's kangaroo rat), 39 nucleotides. The record is from Rfam. NCBI's taxonomy places the organism in Eukaryota, Metazoa, Chordata, Mammalia, Rodentia, Heteromyidae.
UGGCCCAUCGGGGCAUCGGAUACCUGCUUUUUCAUUUUU